GUUAGGUAUAUUGGACAAUGGGCGCAAGCCUGAUCCAGCCAUGCCGCGUGAGUGAUGAAGGCCUUCGGGUUGUAAAGCUCUUUAGUCCACGAAUAUAAUGACUGUAGUGGAAGAAUAAGCCCCGGCUAACUUCGUGCCAGCAGCCGCGGUAAUACGAAGGGGGCGAGCGUUAUUCGGAAUCACUGGGCGUAAAGCGUGCGUAGGCUGUUUUGUAAGUCAGAAGUGAAAGCCCAGGGCUUAACCCUGGAAUUGCUUUUGAAACUACAAGACUCGAAUUCGGGAGAGGAUAGCGGAAUUGUCAGUGUAGCAGUGAAAUGCGUAGAUAUUGACAGGAACACCAGUGGCGCAAGCGGCUAUCUGGACCGAUAUUGACGCUGAGGCACGAAAGCGUGGGGAGCAAACAGGUUUAGAUACCCGGGUAGUCC
This 425-nucleotide ribosomal RNA is filed under the name uncultured bacterium. Its description in RNAcentral is "partial 16S ribosomal RNA". It matches the Rfam family "Bacterial small subunit ribosomal RNA", at positions 354 to 796 of the family's 1533-position model. The record is from RNAcentral.